Molecule: ribosomal RNA, 468 nt
Filed under: uncultured bacterium
Lineage: Bacteria
Description: partial 16S ribosomal RNA
Rfam family: Bacterial small subunit ribosomal RNA
Source: RNAcentral
GACGAACGCUGGCGGCGUGCUUAACACAUGCAAGUCGAACGGAAAGGCCCUGCUUUUGUGGGGUGCUCGAGUGGCGAACGGGUGAGUAACACGUGAGUAACCUGCCCUUGACUUGGGGAUAACUUCAGGAAACUGGGGCUAAUACCGGAUAGGAGCGCCUGCUGCAUGGGGGGGGUUGGACAGUUUCGGCGGUGGGGGAUGGACUCGCGGCUUAUCAGCUUGUUGGGUGGGGAGUGGCUUACCAGGGCUUUGGCGGGUAGCCGGCCUGGGAGGGUGAACGGCCACAUUGGGACUAAGAGACGGCCCAGACUCGUACGGGAGGCAGCAGGGGGGAAUAUUGCACAAUGGGCGGAAGCCUGAUGCAGCAACGCCGCGUGCGGGAUGACGGCCUUCGGGGUGGAAACCGCUUUCGCCUGUGACGAAGCGUGAGUGACGGUAAUGGGUAAAGAAGCACCGGCUAACUACGUG